GGCUUAGUGGUGAAAUGGUAACACAUUCUCUGUGACGCCAGAAAGUCCUAUGUUCGAUUCGUAGUGAUAUCA
RNAcentral lists this transfer RNA (72 nucleotides) under Schistosoma japonicum. Its description in RNAcentral is "tRNA-OTHER". The record is from RNAcentral. Lineage: Eukaryota; Metazoa; Platyhelminthes; Trematoda; Strigeidida; Schistosomatidae.